Molecule: ribosomal RNA, 441 nt
Filed under: uncultured bacterium
Lineage: Bacteria
Description: partial 16S ribosomal RNA
Rfam family: Bacterial small subunit ribosomal RNA
Source: RNAcentral
CCUACGGGAGGCAGCAGUGGGGGAUAUUGCACAAUGGGGGGAACCCUGAUGCAGCGACGCCGCGUGGGUGAAGGAGUGCUUCGGCAUGUAAAGCCCUAUCGGCAGGGAAGAAGCAAGACGGUACCUGACUAAGAAGCCCCGGCAAACUACGUGCCAGCAGCCGCGGUAAUACGUAGGGGGCGAGCGUGAUCCGGAUCCACGGGGUGUAAAGGGAGCGUAGACGGCCAUGCAAUCGAGGGGUGAAAGCCCGGGGCCCAACCCCGGGACUGCCCUUGGAACUGUGCGGCUAGAGUGCGGGAGGGGCAGGCGGAAUUCCUGGUGUAGCGGUGAAAUGCGUAGAUAUCAGGAGGAACACCGGCGGCGAAGGCGGCCCGCUGGACCGCGACUGACGUUGAGGCUCGAAAGCGUGGGGAGCGAACAGGAUUAGAUACCCCAGUAGUC